CGGAGGGUGCAAGCGUUAUCCGGAUUCACUGGGUUUAAAGGGUGCGUAGGUGGGCUUGUAAGUCAGUGGUGAAAUCUCUGAGCUUAACUCGGAAACUGCCAUUGAUACUAUAGGUCUUGAAUCUUCUGGAGGUCAGCGGAAUAUGUCAUGUAGCGGUGAAAUGCUUAGAUAUGACAUAGAACACCAAUUGCGAAGGCAGCUGACUACGGGAGCAUUGACACUGAGGCACGAAAGCGUGGGGAUCAAACAGGAUUAGAUACCCUGGUAGUCCACGCCCUAAACGAUGGAUACUCGACAUACGCGAUACACAGUGUGUGUCUGAGCGAAAGCAUUAAGUAUCCCACCUGGGAAGUACGACCGCAAGGUUG
Molecule: ribosomal RNA, 368 nt
Filed under: uncultured organism
Description: bacterial SSU rRNA
Rfam family: Bacterial small subunit ribosomal RNA
Source: RNAcentral